GGAUGCUUGCUCACUCCAGUUUCCGUGGGGAGCUGCGGACAAGGGUGCCCACCAGUGGUGUCACUUCAGGACCCCAUUCCUGCUCACCCCACACUCCUUCCUCAGUCCCGUGGUGUCAGUUCAGGCCCCCAUUCCCGCUCACCCCACACUCCUUCCUCAGUCCCCUCUUGGUGUCAGUUCAGGCCCCCAUUCCUGCUCACCCCACACUCCUUCCUCAGCCCCCCAGUGGUGUUGGCCCAGGCCCCCAACUCCUGAUCACCCCGUGCCCCUUCCUCGGCCCCUGGGCAGUCCUGGACCCCACAGUGUCUCCCUGGUUCGGCCUCUUGGAGCCGGGAGGAAGCCUGGCACUCCUGUGCCUGGCCCUGUCUCAGGCACUGGGGUUGGGGCCUGGACCCCUUACCUGCUCAGCUUGAGGGGAGCUCCCUGCACUUCCUGACUGUCCCCCCACUGCACCUCCCAUUCCAUUCACGGGCAGACUCCCCUGCCCAUCUCUCCUGUCACCACGGGUUUCUCCGAGGCGUGGCAUCCCAGGGUUGGCGUGAUGUGGGCAUGAGCCACUGGCUGCAUGUAAAAGGGCCGCCCUGCCCACCACACCACCACACAGGUGCUUCUAGACCGGGGCUGGGCCCACGCUCCAUCCCUGCCCACCACACCACCACACAGGUGCUUCUGGGCCGGGGCUGGGCCCGUGCUCCAUGCUGCUGCUGGCACUGCACGGUUUCCAUGUGACGUGGCUUCUUCCCACAGCCCCACAGAGGACACUCCCACCCCGUGGGCUGUCCAUGCCCUGAGCUGCCUGUGUUUAUUUUGGCUGGCCUGAGGGGGACUAUAGUCUGAUGGGUUGUGAUUUUGCCUUUUCCUGAUAUUAAUGAAGUUGAAUGUUUGUUAUAGUCAUUUGGGUCUUGCUCUUCAGUAAACUUCCUUUUGUUUCUUGCCUUUUUAAAAGAUUUUCCACUGGC
Molecule: long non-coding RNA, 959 nt
Organism: Symphalangus syndactylus (siamang)
Lineage: Eukaryota; Metazoa; Chordata; Mammalia; Primates; Hylobatidae
Source: RefSeq, a predicted model, not a curated record